UACGUAGGGUGCGAGCGUUAAUCGGAAUUACUGGGCGUAAAGUGUGCGCAGGCGGCCGCGCAAGUCGAGUGUGAAAGCCCCGAGCUUAACUUGGGAAUUGCGCUCGAAGCUACGUGGCUGGAGUGUGGCAGAGGAAGGUGGAAUUCCACGUGUAGCGGUGAAAUGCGUAGAGAUGUGGAGGAACACCAAUGGCGAAGGCAGCCUUCUGGGCCAACACUGACGCUCAUGCACGAAAGCGUGGGGAGCAAACAGG
Molecule: ribosomal RNA, 253 nt
Filed under: uncultured bacterium
Lineage: Bacteria
Description: partial 16S ribosomal RNA
Rfam family: Bacterial small subunit ribosomal RNA
Source: RNAcentral